UACGGAGGGUGCAAGCGUUAUCCGGAUUCACUGGGUUUAAAGGGUGUGUAGGCGGGUGUUUAAGUCAGUGGUGAAAUCUCCAGGCUCAACCUGGAAACUGCCAUUGAUACUAUUCAUCUUGAAUUCUGUUGAGGUGGGCGGAAUAUAUCAUGUAGCGGUGAAAUGCUUAGAUAUGAUAUAGAACACCGAUUGCGAAGGCAGCUCACUAAAC
RNAcentral lists this ribosomal RNA (211 nucleotides) under uncultured bacterium. Its description in RNAcentral is "partial 16S ribosomal RNA". It matches the Rfam family "Bacterial small subunit ribosomal RNA", at positions 524 to 734 of the family's 1533-position model. The record is from RNAcentral.